RNAcentral lists this ribosomal RNA (260 nucleotides) under uncultured bacterium. RNAcentral's name for it is "partial 16S ribosomal RNA". It matches the Rfam family "Bacterial small subunit ribosomal RNA", at positions 793 to 1055 of the family's 1533-position model. The record is from RNAcentral.
GUCCACGCCCUAAACGAUGGCAACUGGGUGUUGGGGAGCGAUUCCUCAGUACCGUAGCUAACGCGUGAAGUUGCCCGCCUGGGGAGUACGGCCGCAAGGUUAAACUCAAAGGAAUUGACGGGACCCGCACAAGCGGUGGAUGAUGUGGAUUAAUUCGAUGCAACGCGAACAACCUUACCUACCCUUGACAUGUCCGGAACCCCAUUGAGAGGUGGGGUGCCCGAAAGGGAAUCGGAACACAGGUGCUGCAUGGCUGUCGU